UUUCAAAACCAAGAAAAAUAAAAGGGAAAACAACGGUAGUGAGGAGAGGGGAAAAAAAGAGUCCCAACGUCGACCACUAGGGUUUUGACGUCUCCCCACAUAAUCACCCGGUCUCUCUAGAUUCAACUCUCUCCAACCGCUGGAGCUUCUGCUGCCCUUUCUCUUCCCUCAUCCAUGGCGAUUCCCGGUCCUUACUCCGGCGUCAGCACCAUCGCCUUCGUCAGUCUAUCUCUCUCUCCUCCCUCCCAUUCUUUGUUCGGGUUUCCUUUCUGAAUCCAUCUCUUUAUGAACUUUGAUAGGUAGCUCGCGCAUCGGCGUUCACCUUCGGCGUCGUCUACGGGAGCAUGAAGCUGUCCUAUCUCCAGGUAUCAGAUUGGACCCUUUCCUUUCAUCCUGUAUCCAUUUGCCAAUCAUUAUCCAUUUUUUUAUAGCAUGAGAUUGGGAGUGAAAUAUACUGUUAUCCGCUGGAUCUCGGAUUGGAAUGAUGUGAUUCACUUGUUUGGAUUCAUAUUUUUGUAUUAUAUUAAAUCCAAGCCAGCAUCUUCGAUCUAAUGCUUUUAAGAUUCUGUUAUGUCAUUUAUUGGUAUACUUAUAAUUAUGGUUGCUCCUCUUGCUGUUAUAUGCUUCAUGAUUUCUCAGCCAAGAUUGUGUUGUCAUUGCAUUUUUUGGGAAAUUCAGUAAGUUGUUUGAAACGUAUGUCAUAUGGGAACGGCUUGAUGUUUAUAAUUUCCCAUUUGAAGGCGUACUCGUUGAGUGAUGGUAUAUUGAUGACCAUGAAUUACUCACGAAUUCUAUGUAGGAUAAAUCAGAUAGCAACUACAAAACAGAUUUCAUUACUUAAAAUAGUUCAUUUAUUGUUUUUAUUUUAAUUUUAAUUUUUUUAUGUUUUGGCCGGGGGGGGGUGGUGUGUGGGGUGGGGAGGGAUGCUGGAAGCAAUGAUGAAUUAGCAUUUCACACACAAAAUCAGUUAAACCUAGUAAUAGUACAUUAUUUUGAGGAACUCUCUCCAUCUUGCUUAUAGAAUCAUAGGACUGUUGCUUGCAUCCUUUUUUUAAAAAAAAAAAAUCCCGCAUUUUUGGACUCAUUGAUAUGCAUGGUCAUGGGAAGCAUGAGGGAAAAAUAUACUUUGACCCUCUCAAGUUUCAGCGAGAAACAUUUAGCCAUCAGAACUUUUUAAAAGUGUCAAUUAGCCAUUUUAUGUAUCAAUGUUGUACAGUCCAUUAUUUGCCCCACAAUGCUGUAACCAAGCAGUUUAGAAGACUAAACUACCCUUCUAUCCAAUGGCUAUUUACAAAAACCUUUAAUCUCUCUUUGAUCCCCAUCGCACUCGAUGCACUCUUCUCAUCUCCCAUCACUCUUUUGUCCUCCCUCAAUGCCCAGUCCUCCUCCUCUAUCCACUUUCAUCUGCUCCUAAUUGUCCUUAUUGGGCAUGGCAUUCUUGUUGCAACACACCCUCUCGUUCCAGAAGGCGUGGUCCAUCUUGGAGAUGGCGUCAUGGGUGAUGAUGGCCAUUGGUUUGGGAUGAUAGGAAGGAGAGGGGGUUGGGGAGUGUCAAUGGCAUGACCAAAUCGGCAAUGGGUCUGCCCAACUUCAUAGGCUUAAAACUAAGAUUGAUCUCACCAUUUCUACAACACCCAUUUCUACAUAACCGUUCUUUUCUUGCAAUAUCCAUUGAAUUCUCUCUCAUGUAUAAAGGGGAACCUUCUAUUCCUAGGGCAAUGACAUGGAGAGAGACCAAUUGAACUUAAGAAUGUGGAGGGAGAACCCAAAUAUCAAGGAAGAGAGAGAGAGAGAGAGAGGCAACUCAACUGUCUCUCAAUGGGGCUCUCCUCCACACGACCCUCUUGCUCAUCCCCAUCCUGUUUAAGGCCAGUAUCAUUGCGUUGGCAUUGUUCAGCUUGCUUGGAAACCCAUUCCAACAGCCAAAACAAAAUCUCCUAACCUUUUCUGCCCACCGACUAUUGAUAAUCUCUAAUUGAUCCUGAGUGAGGUCCUAAAUCUCUUGAAGAGGCCUGAUGUAGUACCCUGGCCAAUGGAAGCUCGUCAAGGAGAAUGCAAUUUGGUAUUGGUGAUGACAUUCUCAUUGUGAAGAAGGGCAUCAUGUUCAAUUCCACCAUGUUAUCCAAGAACUCAUAAAUUUGUGGAUACCUAAUGGCAUCUGACAAGGUUGUGACUGCCCUACUCUUUCCCAUCUUGAAUGGCUUGAUUUGUUAGACUUUUUAACCUAUCUCAGUACUAAUGAUUUUAUUGGAACUUGUAAUUGGUAGGAACCAUGUUUUAUCUUUCUUCUUCUUCUUUUUUUUUGUUGGUAAUAGUGAAUUUAAAUUUGUUUGCUAACCUUCAAUGUUUAUAUAUUCAUGGGUUGGACAAUGAGACCAUGGAAGAAUACUCCAGUAGCAUUUGACAUGUGCAUUUUUUUAGUAAAAUUUUUAUCUGAAAGAAGUCAGUAAUGUAGAUGUAGACUUUAUAUGUAUAAUAUCAAGUUCUUUACUAACCAAUUAUUUCAUGAGACUAGAUUGCACAUGACUUAUUGCCAAUAUUCAUAAUUCCAUAUAGGUUAUCACAAGAAAGAAACUCAAUUUACUGCUUAACAACAGUAACUCUGUUUCCAUUUUUUUUUAUUUUGAAUAUUUAUGUUUAUAGCACUUUGAUGCUCUUCGUGAUGAUUUUGGAUUUUAUUUUUUAGUUAAACUAGUCUGACAGGUUGAGUUUGUAUUCAGAAUAUGGUAGUCAUUUCUCAUAGACACCAUUUCAAAAAUGAUAUUCAUAAUUCCAUAUAGGUUAUCACUAGAAAGAAAACUCAAUUUACUGCUUAACAACAGUAACUCUGUUUCCAUUUUUUAAAUUUGACUAUUUAUGUUUAUAGCACUUUGAUGCUCUUCGUGGUGAUUUUGGAUUUAUUUUUUAGUUAAACUAGUCUAACAGGUUCAGUUUGUAUUCAUAAUAUGGUAGUCAUUUCUCAUAGAUGCUGUUUCAAGAAGGUUCCCUUUUUUUUUUUGUUGAGUUACCAUGGAUCUGCAACUUCGAUUUCUUCUUUCCCUCCUUUGAAAGUGUUACAGCAUGAAUCGUUGACCGGUAUGGCAUGCCAUGCAAUCUACCACAGGUCAGGGAACAUUGAAGGCCAUUCACUUUGGUAGUGUGGUGGGUUGGAGACACUGCACUACUUUGUCAAAUCUUGACCUUACUAUUGGUGUUUGGUGAUCUUAUAAUUGGUGUAUGGCUGCUUGAUAUUAGGAAGGCUUGAAUGUUUCACAAAACUUUGUCACCUUGUAACCAUUUUACUUCACAAAGGCAUAUUAAAAUAGUCAUUCUUUCAUUUUUUUUUUUUCAUAGCUCUAAUUGUUAGUAUUCCACCCUAAGGUAAUUAGCCUUGGGGUGUAACAUUAGACCUGUUUACCUUCAUGGCAUUCUUUGUGAAAGUAUGGCAUUUUCACUGAGGUAACCUGUUCAUAUUAGACUGUUAAAAUAUUUAUAUUAUAAGUACAUGAUCUCACUUGUAUAAACACCUGUUUUUAGCAAUAACUUGUUUCUUUCUUUUUCCAGGCAAAGGCAAAAUCUCAUAAAAAAGCUGAGGCAAAAGGACACCAUUGAAUGGGAAAUGCAUAUCUUUGUUUCUUGAUUUACAAGAGCAUGAUUUGAGUGUUUAUUUUGAUUUGUUGCAGCAUCAUGCUUAAGGUUCCUCCUAUCUUUCCCAAGAAAACUGCAAGGAGGAUGGUUGACAUUUAUCUUAUUCUGAUAAAAGAGGACUUCAUCCCCUCAUAUUUUGGAUUUUUUUUUAAAAAAAAGUAAAGAUGACAAUUUUAAGUAUCUCCAUUGUGAAAACAAUAUUUGUAGUUCCUUUGUUCCUACUUCCAGUGCACAUUCUCCCCUUAUUUUGACAUAUUUUCAUGAGCUUUACAUAUUUAUGAUUCUGGAAAUUUCAUAAGCUCUGGGAGAAAUGGGCCCCAGUAAGACUUGGUGGGCUAAAUCUGGAUUAACUUAUGGCGCUACAGCCAGUGGCUUUUGCUAGAGGCUGGUUCAAAUGGCAUAUCGGUUCCAUCAAGUUCUUUCCAUAAUUGAAACUCAAAGCAGGCUUGAAUGAUGGCGCUGCAUCGAAGUUUUUUGGUUCUUGAAUGCCCAAAAUUUCAUCAAUAAAAUCCUGACAGAGGUCACACACAGCAAAACUUCACUUUAGUGAAUAACUAUGCCAAGAUACAUCAGGUUGACCUGCUGAGUGGUCAUGAAUUCUAGUGUUGCAUUGACUUCUUUUGUUGGGAUGAAUUAAAUUAGUAUUUUUUAAUGCAG
Molecule: long non-coding RNA, 4284 nt
Filed under: Elaeis guineensis (African oil palm)
Lineage: Eukaryota; Viridiplantae; Streptophyta; Magnoliopsida; Arecales; Arecaceae
Description: long non-coding RNA (EGUI_LNC029831)
Source: RNAcentral